CCAAUAGCGUAUAUUAAAGUUGUUGCAGUUAAAAAGCUCGUAGUUGAAUUUCGGGAUUAGUACGCUGGUCGUGCCUUCGGUAUGUACUGGUGUUACUGGUUCCUACCUUCUGACGAACCGUCAUGUCAUUAAUUUGGUGUGGCGGGAAAUCAGGACUGUUACUUUGAAAAAAUUAGAGUGUUAAAAGCAGGCUCGCGCUUGAAUACAUUAGCAUGGAAUAAUGAAAUAGGACGUUCGAUCCUAUUUUGUUGGUUUCUAGGAUUGACGUAAUGAUUAAUAGGGAUAGUUGGGGGAAUUAGUAUUCAAUUGUCAGAGGUGUAAUUCUUGGAUUUAUUGAAGACUAACUACUGCGAAAGCAUUUGCCAAGGAUGUUUUCAUUAAUCAAGAACGAAAGUUAGGGGAUCGAAGACGAUCAGAUACCGUCGUAGUCUUAACCAUAAACUAUGCCGACUAGGGAUCGGAUGAUGUUAUUUUUAAUGACUCAUUCGGCGCCUUACG
This 498-nucleotide unclassified non-coding RNA is filed under the name uncultured Glomus. Its description in RNAcentral is "SSU rRNA". It matches the Rfam family "Eukaryotic small subunit ribosomal RNA", at positions 591 to 1092 of the family's 1831-position model. The record is from RNAcentral. Lineage: Eukaryota; Fungi; Glomeromycota; Glomeromycetes; Glomerales; Glomeraceae.